AUGGCUGAGAAAGAUGGGCAGUUCCUAGGAGCAAUGUGGAGAUCCACGACGGCCACAGCAGCGCGCACCAUCCAUGAUCUAGUGGGGAUGAAAAACCCAACGGGGAUGGGAAAAUUUUGUUCCCCAUGGGCGGGGACGGAGAUGGGCAUGGGGUGGCUGUCGCGGGGACGGGGAUGGGAGUCCAAUACCCACCUGGGUACAGCUUACCCCACUACUAGCAGGCCGCCGCCCGGAUGGAUAUAUGUGGAUCAGGCCCACAGAAAAUACUACCCAGCCUCUCUCGUGGACGGCCCAGAUCCGCUCCGCGCAGCCUCGCCGCCGCGUUCGAGGAGGGAGCCUGUUUGGGAUAUUUGGGAUGCGGGCCAGCGGCGCGGCAACGCCGCGGGUGGUGGGGCGGACGCGCACCUCUACGACGACCCGGACGAUGCCGCCGUACCGGCGCUCCUCGACUCCCACUUCGACGGCGGCAAGUUCGACGCGCCCAAGCACCUUCUCGCCCUCAUCUCUCUGGGCAUCGACGUCGCCCACCUCUCGACGCAGUCUUAUUCCUUCCUGAACACCGUUGCUUCAGUUGAUCAACCGGUGAUUCUUGAAAACCUCGCCAGCAAGACAAUUUGUUCGAAUGACUUGGUGGUGGUGUCGCCUGAUGUUGGAGAUGUGCUGUUUCACAUGGUGCAUGCUAGUUUUAUUUUUCCAUACUUUUAUGUGAUCAGUUCUGUCAGAUUAAACAAGCACAACUUGUCAUGUGCAUUUAUUGCAGGAACUAUUGCCAAGGGAGAUGAGCUGCUGCAUCAAGAAAGAGCAAGAGAAGUCUAUGCAUGUUGUACACCUGCUGUUUAG
RNAcentral lists this ribosomal RNA (840 nucleotides) under Triticum aestivum (bread wheat). RNAcentral's name for it is "partial small subunit ribosomal RNA". Lineage: Eukaryota; Viridiplantae; Streptophyta; Magnoliopsida; Poales; Poaceae. The record is from RNAcentral.